Molecule: transfer RNA, 74 nt
Filed under: Sphaerodactylus townsendi
Lineage: Eukaryota; Metazoa; Chordata; Lepidosauria; Squamata; Sphaerodactylidae
Description: tRNA-Val
Source: RNAcentral
GCCAAUGAUAUAAUGGCAGAGCAUCUGCUUGACAUGCAGGGGGUCGGCCCUGGGUUCGAGCCCCAGCAGCUCCA